RNAcentral lists this ribosomal RNA (143 nucleotides) under Candidatus Uhrbacteria bacterium RIFCSPHIGHO2_02_FULL_47_29. Its description in RNAcentral is "partial 23S ribosomal RNA". It matches the Rfam family "Bacterial large subunit ribosomal RNA", at positions 2766 to 2925 of the family's 2925-position model. Lineage: Bacteria; Candidatus Uhriibacteriota. The record is from RNAcentral.
AAACGCUGAAAGCAUCUAAGCGUGAAGCCGUCUUCAAGAUUAGGUUUCGUUAAGAUCCCUCAGAGACUAUGAGGUUGAUAGGCGCUACGUGUAAGAUCCGUAAGGAUUUUAGCGAAGGCGUACUAAUAGAUCGAAGUCUCGAU